RNAcentral lists this ribosomal RNA (408 nucleotides) under uncultured microorganism. RNAcentral describes it as "bacterial SSU rRNA". It matches the Rfam family "Archaeal small subunit ribosomal RNA", at positions 330 to 745 of the family's 1478-position model. The record is from RNAcentral.
GUGCAGCAGGCGAGAAACUUUACAAUGUGCGAAAGCACGAUAAGGGAACUCUGAGUGCCUCCUAAGGAGGCUGUUCAGGUGUCUAAAAGCACCUGGAGUAAGGGCUGGGUAAGACCGGUGCCAGCCGCCGCGGUAACACCGGCAGCCCAGGUGGUAGCCACUUUUAUUGGGUCUAAAGCGUCCGUAGCCGGUUGAGUAAGUUCCUUGGGAAAUUUGGCUGCUCAACAGUCAAGCUUCCAGGGAAUACUGCUCGACUUGGGACUGGGAGAGGUCAGAGGUACUCCAGGGGUAGGGGUGAAAUCCAUUAAUCCCUGGGGGACCACCGGUAGCGAAGGCGUCUGACCAGACCAGGUCCGACGGUGAGGGACGAAGGCUAGGGUCGCGAACCGGAUUAGAUACCCCCGUAGU